AGCAGCCGCGGUAAUUCCAGCUCCAAUAGCGUAUAUUAAAGUUGCUGCAGUUAAAAAGCUCGUAGUUGAAUUUCGGGAUCAAUAUGUUGGUCGUGCCUCGGUACGUACUAGCUUAUUGGUUUCUUCCUUCUGACGAACCAUAAUGUCAUUUAUUUGGUGUUAUGGGGAAUCAGGACUGUUACUUUGAAAAAAUUAGAGUGUUUAAAGCAGGCUCACGCUUGAAUACAUUAGCAUGGAAUAAUGAAAUAGGACGUUUGAUUCUAUUUUGUUGGUUUCUAGGAUCGACGUAAUGAUUAAUAGGGAUAGUUGGGGGCAUUAGUAUUCAAUUGUCAGAGGUGAAAUUCUUGGAUUUAUUGAAAGACUAACUACUGCGAAAGCAUUUGCCAAGGAUGUUUUCAUUAAUCAAGAACGAAAGUUAGGGGAUCGAAGACGAUCAGAUACCGUCGUAGUCUUAACCAUAAACUAUGCCGACUAGGGAUCGGAUGAUGUUAAUUUUUAAUGUACUCAUUCGGCGCCUUAA
This 520-nucleotide unclassified non-coding RNA is filed under the name uncultured Glomus. Its description in RNAcentral is "SSU rRNA". It matches the Rfam family "Eukaryotic small subunit ribosomal RNA", at positions 569 to 1091 of the family's 1831-position model. The record is from RNAcentral. Lineage: Eukaryota; Fungi; Glomeromycota; Glomeromycetes; Glomerales; Glomeraceae.